Molecule: ribosomal RNA, 612 nt
Filed under: Streptococcus mutans
Lineage: Bacteria; Bacillati; Bacillota; Bacilli; Lactobacillales; Streptococcaceae
Description: bacterial SSU rRNA
Rfam family: Bacterial small subunit ribosomal RNA
Source: RNAcentral
AAAGUCUGACCGAGCAACGCCGCGUGAGUGAAGAAGGUUUUCGGAUCGUAAAGCUCUGUUGUAAGUCAAGAACGUGUGUGAGAGUGGAAAGUUCACACAGUGACGGUAGCUUACCAGAAAGGGACGGCUAACUACGUGCCAGCAGCCGCGGUAAUACGUAGGUCCCGAGCGUUGUCCGGAUUUAUUGGGCGUAAAGGGAGCGCAGGCGGUCAGGAAAGUCUGGAGUAAAAGGCUAUGGCUCAACCAUAGUGUGCUCUGGAAACUGUCUGACUUGAGUGCAGAAGGGGAGAGUGGAAUUCCAUGUGUAGCGGUGAAAUGCGUAGAUAUAUGGAGGAACACCAGUGGCGAAAGCGGCUCUCUGGUCUGUCACUGACGCUGAGGCUCGAAAGCGUGGGUAGCGAACAGGAUUAGAUACCCUGGUAGUCCACGCCGUAAACGAUGAGUGCUAGGUGUUAGGCCCUUUCCGGGGCUUAGUGCCGGAGCUAACGCAAUAAGCACUCCGCCUGGGGAGUACGACCGCAAGGUUGAAACUCAAAGGAAUUGACGGGGGCCCGCACAAGCGGUGGAGCAUGUGGUUUAAUUCGAAGCAACGCGAAGAACCUUACCAGGUCU